GGCCAUGUGAAAUUUGUUUUAAUUACAUAUUUUGUUAUCUAUUUCAUAUUUUGAUAUUUGAAAUUUCAAUAUCGUUACUCAUUUGUAAUUUAAAAUUAAAAUUGUUCAGACCUAUUGAGUACCAAUCACAGAAUAACGUAAUAAGGGUCUUAAAAAUGCGUUGUUGUGUAGCUUCAUGUAAGACUAAUAAAUCAAAAGCUACAAAAAUAAGUUUAUUUGGUAUACCUAAAACUGAUGCUUUAAGGCUUGACUGGGAGAAAGCCUUAGGUGUUUUUUUUAAAACUAGUUCUAGAGUAUGUCGUGACCAUUUUAAAGAGGAAGAUAUAAUUGAUACCUGGGUGUCUGGCAAAGGAUUAACCAAAUACACGAUAAGCUUAAAAAAACCCACACUUCGCAAAGGUGCGAUUCCCAUUCCUAUCCGCACUGCCUCACCUAUAUCUCAAAAUUUUGAUUCAAGUGUUGCACAAGUAAAAGUACCAAAGGAAUUUGAGGUAUUAGUUUCAAACAUUAACAAUGACCAUUGCUAUUACUCAGGUAAAGGCAAUACAACGAAAAUCACAUCACCAUCACAUGAUACCUUACCUUCACCUGAAAUAGAGGUACAUCCAAUUUCUCAUUUUAAAGACAUUUUAAAUCAAAUAGACGUAUUAAAUAUUCCUGAAAAAUGGUAUUAUGAUAAGCAUACAACCAAAAAAAUAAAGAUGAUCAGUUUUCAUAAAUUGGGACCAUACAGAGAUGAUUUUACUAGAAGCAUAGAAAAACAAUUAGUUUUGACUGAAGAUUUACAAUUAUUACUCUUUGCUUAUAACAAGAAAAUCACUACAUCUGACAUAGGAAAUAUUUCUGAAGUGAAUACUAUUAAUACAUAUGAAAAAUUACUAAGUAUACUUAAACAAUUUGAUGAAACUCUAGUAUGUCAAGGUGCUUUACCCUCAAAACCAUUUGAUGAUGUUAAUUCUUCAUAUGGUUAUCAAUUUGUUGAAUCCUAUGGAAUGUGGAGACAUAUAAAAUGCUGCACAAUACUAACAAAGGAUAAUAGCCAAAAAAGUAAUAUUUGUAUAUGGUGUAAACGUUUGUGGUAUAUAAUAAAAAAUAGAAAGUUACGCUUGAAAAAUAACCAAACAAUCCGGGUAUUCUUUUCUCCAAAUCAGCAAAAAAAAUUAAAACAAAUUAAAGCUCAAAAGAUGUUAAUGAGAAAAAAAUACUCCAGAGCAACAAAAAGAAUUAUUUUCCUUCAAAAUAAGUUAAAAGAAAUUAAAAAAAAAACGAAAGAAAUCACUCAAUCUAGACUUGAAGAGCUUUUAGAUCAAGACAGUUUAAAUAUGUCAAUGUAUCAACCUGAACUAUUAUAUGAAUCAGAUGAUUAAUUCUGAUCAUAAAUUGUGCUAGAAACUUUAACCAUGGCCCACACCGAGGUGCUCCACAUGGCUGUAUUAUAGUUGUGCUAAAAUAUCAACUCAUUUAGCUGCUACUUUUGUUGGAAUGCAUCCAUAUUUUCUUUGAUAUGGAUUUUUAUUUACAUUUAUUAAUAUGAUCCUAUUGAAUCUCAAUGUAUCUCAUGAUGAUGAAGUCACUUAAAUUAUGAACCAAACAAAAUUUUACAAUCAGAUGCAAUGUUUUAAAUGGUGUAGCAAGUGAUUGCAAUUAACUUCGCAAGGAAAUUGUUACUAAUUCCUAUUUGUUCAAAAUAUAUUAGAUUUAGAUUUGAGUUGUAUUAAUAACAGUUUUAACUAAUAAAAAUACU
Molecule: RNA transcript, 1744 nt
Organism: Acyrthosiphon pisum (pea aphid)
Lineage: Eukaryota; Metazoa; Arthropoda; Insecta; Hemiptera; Aphididae
Exons: 7
Source: RefSeq, a predicted model, not a curated record